This 84-nucleotide transfer RNA is filed under the name Agromyces hippuratus. RNAcentral describes it as "tRNA-OTHER". Lineage: Bacteria; Bacillati; Actinomycetota; Actinomycetes; Micrococcales; Microbacteriaceae. The record is from RNAcentral.
CGAUCUGGCGGAGCUUGGUGGCGUCGCGGUGUUCGAGCAGGUAGCCGAGGAACGGGUGCGGGUUCGACUCCUGCAGGUCGGCCA